CUUCUUAUGAUGAAAACUGCGUCCAGUUCUGCUGCUGAAGGGAAAGAGAUGAAAGCUUUUAGUGCUGAGGAAG
This is a small nucleolar RNA of Panthera pardus (leopard), 73 nucleotides long. Lineage: Eukaryota; Metazoa; Chordata; Mammalia; Carnivora; Felidae. The record is from Ensembl.